UCAAGUACAAACUCUUUCAAACCCACCUAGCAGGCUAGCACCUACUACAUAAGCAAAUCACCAAGGUGGUGAUCAACCAAAUACCAUGAAUAAACAGAGUACACCACUUUGUGCAUACAGAAAUAAACCAUGAACAGAAUCAAAACAUGAACAGAGUAAACAGAAUUCACAGGAACAUGAACAGAAUCAGAAUCAGAAUCAGAACAUGAUCAACCAAAUACCAUGAAUAAACAGAAUACACCAACGAACAUGAACAGAGAGCAACAUGUUUUCUGUGAUAGAGAAGAACAGGAACAAGAACAGAACCAUGAACGGAGGUGGAAGGAAGAGUAUUACCGGCGAGCUGGGCGAGGUGGAGAGCUGGGCGACGACGGUGGAGGUGGGAAGCUGGGCGACGGCGAUGGAGGAGAGGUGCGACGGUGGAGGUGGCGAGCUGGGGGACUACGAUGGAGGACCGGAGCUCUGCGACGGCGAUGGAAGAGAGGUGCGACGGCGAUGAGUGGCUGUGGCCUGUCGGAGGGUGAGAGGGUGAGAGAAACUGAGUGGCUGAAGAGGGUGAGACGGUGAUGAAGAGGCUGAAGAGGGUGAGAGGC
Arachis ipaensis is the source of this 593-nucleotide non-coding RNA. NCBI's taxonomy places the organism in Eukaryota, Viridiplantae, Streptophyta, Magnoliopsida, Fabales, Fabaceae. The record is from RefSeq and is a predicted model, not a curated record.